RNAcentral lists this unclassified non-coding RNA (352 nucleotides) under soil metagenome. RNAcentral describes it as "partial contains 5.8S ribosomal RNA, internal transcribed spacer 2, and large subunit ribosomal RNA". The stretch from base 1 to 120 matches the Rfam family "5.8S ribosomal RNA", at positions 35 to 154 of the family's 154-position model. The record is from RNAcentral.
GAUGAAGAACUCAGCGAAAUGCGAUAAGUAAUGUGAAUUGCAGAAUUCAGUGAAUCAUCGAAUCUUUGAACGCACAUUGCGCCCGCCAGUAUUCUGGCGGGCAUGCCUGUUCGAGCGUCAUUACAACCCUCAGGCCCCCGGGCCUGGCGUUGGGGAUCGGCGGAGCCCCCCGUGGGCACACGCCGUCCCCCAAAUGCAGUGGCGGUCCCGCCGCAGCUUCCAUCGCGUAGUAGCUAACACCUCGCGACUGGAGAGCGGCGCGGCCACGCCGUAAAACACCCAACUCUUCUGAAGUUGACCUCGAAUCAGGUAGGAAUACCCGCUGAACUUAAGCAUAUCAAUAAGCGGAGGA